RNAcentral lists this ribosomal RNA (465 nucleotides) under Vreelandella stevensii. RNAcentral describes it as "partial 16S ribosomal RNA". It matches the Rfam family "Bacterial small subunit ribosomal RNA", at positions 338 to 795 of the family's 1533-position model. The record is from RNAcentral. Lineage: Bacteria; Pseudomonadati; Pseudomonadota; Gammaproteobacteria; Oceanospirillales; Halomonadaceae.
CCUACGGGUGGCUGCAGUGGGGAAUAUUGGACAAUGGGGGCAACCCUGAUCCAGCCAUGCCGCGUGUGUGAAGAAGGCCCUCGGGUUGUAAAGCACUUUCAGUGAGGAAGAACGCCUGGUGGUUAAUACCCAUCAGGAAAGACAUCACUCACAGAAGAAGCACCGGCUAACUCCGUGCCAGCAGCCGCGGUAAUACGGAGGGUGCGAGCGUUAAUCGGAAUUACUGGGCGUAAAGCGCGCGUAGGUGGCUUGAUAAGCCGGUUGUGAAAGCCCCGGGCUCAACCUGGGAACGGCAUCCGGAACUGUCAAGCUAGAGUGCAGGAGAGGAAGGUAGAAGUACCGGGGUAGCGGUGAAAUGCGUAGAGAUCGGGAGGAAGACCAGUGGCGAAGGCGGCCUUCUGGACUGACACUGACACUGAGGUGCGAAAGCGUGGGUAGAAAACAGGAUUAGAUACCCCGGUAGUC